RNAcentral lists this long non-coding RNA (866 nucleotides) under Phoenix dactylifera (date palm). RNAcentral describes it as "long non-coding RNA (PDAC_LNC005807)". Lineage: Eukaryota; Viridiplantae; Streptophyta; Magnoliopsida; Arecales; Arecaceae. The record is from RNAcentral.
GGAAUAGAGCCGUAUCCACGGAAUGCUUCCCAGCGAAUCCAACAAGUCUUACACAACCUUAUCCCAAAGAACAGAGCCACCAAAGUCUCACCUCCUCCUAAAUUUUCUCUUCCGAAUCAGGCCAGCUUCUUCCGCUAGAUCCCGUCCAUGAUCUUCUCUUCAUCCCAUUCGGAUUGGUUCCAUCUCCACGGGAUAAACUCAAAUCCCCUGUUCCGUGCGUCCCUUCCCUUCCGGAUGAGAACCAGCAACCUUCUGCCGGAUUACUCCCAAUGUCCAAGCUUCAUCUCAGCUCCAUGGAUUGCUAUCCCGGCUAGGAACGAAGUUCCAGCUCCCAGCAACCUCACGCGUCUUCUCCGCGAUUCAUCCUCAUCUUCUCUCAGCCGUGAGCAUCCACGCCAUCCUUUGCAUCCUAUCUUUGAUUCGAAAGAGGGGAGGAGAGAGAAGUGGGCAGGCUAUAAAAGGGAGUCGAUACAUGAAGGCUAGAGGCAUUCCUUCUUCCCCACCGGGGGCUGAUCCCAUCAAACUCUUCUCCGAGGCCGAAUCACAAGAAUAAAAGGAGAGAGAUUAUUUUGGGUAUUAUAGGAAGAACUUCCCAUGGAAAGAAAAAAAAUGAAAUGGAAUGAGGGGAGAUUAGCCGGAGCUUCUUCCAUCAUCACGACGUAUUCUUCUCUUCUUUCCGGCCGCCACCUCCCUCGGAAGAAGUCAGUCAUGCCGUCUUCAUUCCGCUGUGCUGCUAUCGUCCACUUCUACAUGGAGGGCUGAUCUCUUCACCAGGGCCGGAUGCAGCCCUAACGAAGGGCCAAGGGUUUUGUAUUUUUGAUUUCUAUUCUUGGAGAUGUAUAAGCUUUAUUUUGUUCUUAAUGAAU